RNAcentral lists this ribosomal RNA (292 nucleotides) under uncultured bacterium. RNAcentral describes it as "partial 16S ribosomal RNA". It matches the Rfam family "Bacterial small subunit ribosomal RNA", at positions 505 to 796 of the family's 1533-position model. The record is from RNAcentral.
GUGUCAGCAGCCGCGGUAAGACGAACCGUGCGAACGUUGUUCGGAAUCACUGGGCUUAAAGGGCGCGUAGGCGGGCUAUCAAGUCCGGGGUGAAAUCCUCCAGCUUAACUGGAGAACGGCCUCGGAUACUGAUGGUCUCGAGGAGGAUAGGGGCACACGGAACUGUGGGUGGAGCGGUGAAAUGCGUUGAUAUCCAUAGGAACUCCGGUGGCGAAAGCGGUGUGCUGGAUCCUUUCUGACGCUGAGGCGCGAAAGCCAGGGGAGCAAACGGGAUUAGAUACCCCAGUAGUCC